UGGGGAAUUUUGGACAAUGGGCGCAAGCCUGAUCCAGCCAUGCCGCGUGCAGGAUGAAGGCCUUCGGGUUGUAAACUGCUUUUGUACGGAACGAAAAGGUGCCUUCUAAUAAAGGGCGCUCACGACGGUACCGUAAGAAUAAGCACCGGCUAACUACGUGCCAGCAGCCGCGGUAAUACGUAGGGUGCGAGCGUUAAUCGGAAUUACUGGGCGUAAAGCGUGCGCAGGCGGUUUUGUAAGACAGAUGUGAAAGCCCCGGGCUUAACCUGGGAAUUGCGUUUGAAACUACAAGACUUGAGUGAAGCAGAGNGGAGUGGAAUUCCAUGUGUAGCAGUGAAAUGCGUAGAGAUGUGGAAGAACACCGAUGGCGAAGGCAGCUCCCUGGGUUGACACUGACGCUCAUGCACGAAAGCGUGGGGAGCAAACA
RNAcentral lists this ribosomal RNA (427 nucleotides) under uncultured bacterium. RNAcentral's name for it is "bacterial SSU rRNA". It matches the Rfam family "Bacterial small subunit ribosomal RNA", at positions 355 to 774 of the family's 1533-position model. The record is from RNAcentral.